GAUGAAGAACGUAGCGAAAUGCGAUACGUAAUGUGAAUUGCAGAAUUCAGUGAAUCAUCGAAUCUUUGAACGCAUAUUGCGCUCUCUGGUAUUCCGGAGAGCAUGCUCGUUUGAGUAUCAGUAAACACCUCAACUUCCAUAUCUUUUUUGAAAUGGGAGUUGGACUUGAGUGAUCCCAACGCUUUUCCUCACCGAAAAGUGGCGGGUUACUUGAAAUGCAGGUGCAGCUGGACUUUUCUCUGAGCUAUAAGCAUAUCUAUUUAGUCUGCCUAAAAAACAGAUUAUUACCUUUGCUGCAGCUAACAUAAAGGAGAUUAGUUCUUGUGCUGACUGAUGCAGGAUUCACAAAGACAGGCUUCGGCCGACUUUGUAAACUCGAUCUCAAAUCAAGUAAGACUACCCGCUGAACUUAAGCAUAUCAAUAAGCGGAGGA
RNAcentral lists this unclassified non-coding RNA (433 nucleotides) under soil metagenome. RNAcentral's name for it is "partial contains 5.8S ribosomal RNA, internal transcribed spacer 2, and large subunit ribosomal RNA". The stretch from base 1 to 120 matches the Rfam family "5.8S ribosomal RNA", at positions 35 to 154 of the family's 154-position model. The record is from RNAcentral.